AGAGUUUGAUCCUGGCUCAGGACGAACGCUGGCGGCGUGCUUAACACAUGCAAGUCGAACGAUGAACCAGGAGCUUGCUCUUGGGGAUUAGUGGCGAACGGGUGAGUAACACGUGAGUAACCUGCCCUUGACUCUGGGAUAACCUCCGGAAACGGAAGCUAAUACCGGAUACGAACUGCGAAGGCAUCUUCAGCGGUUGGAAAGAACUUCGGUCAGGGAUGAGCUCGCGGCCUAUCAGCUUGUUGGUGAGGUAAUGGCUCACCAAGGCGUCGACGGGUAGCCGGCCUGAGAGGGUGACCGGCCACACUGGGACCGAGACACGGCCCAGACUCCUACGGGAGGCAGCAGUGGGGAAUAUUGCACAAUGGGCGCAAGCCUGAUGCAGCAACGCCGCGUGAGGGACGACGGCCUUCGGGUUGUAAACCUCUUUUAGCAGGGAAGAAGCGAAAGUGACGGUACCUGCAGAAAAAGCGCCGGCUAACUACGUGCCAGCAGCCGCGGUAAUACGUAGGGCGCAAGCGUUAUCCGGAAUUAUUGGGCGUAAAGAGCUCGUAGGCGGUUUGUCGCGUCUGCUGUGAAAUCCCGAGGCUCAACCUCGGGUCUGCAGUGGGUACGGGCAGACUAGAGUGCGGUAGGGGAGAUUGGAAUUCCUGGUGUAGCGGUGGAAUGCGCAGAUAUCAGGAGGAACACCGAUGGCGAAGGCAGAUCUCUGGGCCGUAACUGACGCUGAGGAGCGAAAGGGUGGGGAGCAAACAGGCUUAGAUACCCUGGUAGUCCACCCCGUAAACGUUGGGAACUAGUUGUGGGGUCCAUUCCACGGAUUCCGUGACGCAGCUAACGCAUUAAGUUCCCCGCCUGGGGAGUACGGCCGCAAAGGCUAAAAACUCAAAGGAAAUUGACGG
Molecule: ribosomal RNA, 902 nt
Filed under: uncultured bacterium
Lineage: Bacteria
Description: bacterial SSU rRNA
Rfam family: Bacterial small subunit ribosomal RNA
Source: RNAcentral